RNAcentral lists this ribosomal RNA (450 nucleotides) under uncultured Methylophilaceae bacterium. Its description in RNAcentral is "bacterial SSU rRNA". It matches the Rfam family "Bacterial small subunit ribosomal RNA", at positions 354 to 796 of the family's 1533-position model. The record is from RNAcentral. Lineage: Bacteria; Pseudomonadati; Pseudomonadota; Betaproteobacteria; Nitrosomonadales; Methylophilaceae.
GUGGGGAAUUUUGGACAAUGGGCGCAAGCCUGAUCCAGCCAUUCCGCGUGAGUGAAGAAGGCCUUCGGGUUGUAAAGCUCUUUCGCAAGGGAAGAAAACUUACAUUCUAAUAAAGUGUGAGGCUGACGGUACCUUGAUAAGAAGCACCGGCUAACUACGUGCCAGCAGCCGCGGUAAUACGUAGGGUGCGAGCGUUAAUCGGAAUUACUGGGCGUAAAGCGUGCGCAGGCGGUUUUGUAAGUCAGAUGUGAAAUCCCCGAGCUCAACUUGGGAACUGCGUUUGAAACUACAAGACUAGAAUAUGUCAGAGGGGGGUAGAAUUCCACGUGUAGCAGUGAAAUGCGUAGAGAUGUGGAGGAAUACCAAUGGCGAAGGCAGCCCCCUGGGAUAAUAUUGACGCUCAUGCACGAAAGCGUGGGGAGCAAACAGGAUUAGAUACCCCGGUAGUCC